Molecule: long non-coding RNA, 217 nt
Filed under: Nicotiana benthamiana
Lineage: Eukaryota; Viridiplantae; Streptophyta; Magnoliopsida; Solanales; Solanaceae
Description: long non-coding RNA (NBEN_LNC033265)
Source: RNAcentral
AAGGAAUUAAGAAUAGUUGUGCCCAGUAAGCCUGAAUCCCAAAGAUAACUGAUUGAACCAGCUGAGUUCUGCCAGCAUAUGAUAGGUGCCUGGCAGUCCAGGAAGUAAUCCUGGCAGAGACUUUGUCAACCAGUGGCUGCCAUUGCAAAACAGUCAACUUCUUGGUAGUCAAAGGUACUCCCAAAUACUUAAAAGGAAGUUCUCCACGUACAUAUCC